AUUGGUUUAGCUCAAGCCCAAAAGUAUGUUAAAUCUCAUUCUUCCUAUGGAUUCCUUCUAUCAAAAGUCUCUAAUAAUUCACCUAGUCACAUCGAGUAACUCGCCCGAGUUCACUCUCCUCAAUCGGGCUUUGACUAGAUCCUCAGUCACGGGCCGGAGUGGAGCCCCUUGCGAGCCCGCCAAUCCACUUUCCCCACAGUCUCUCUUCUCCAACUCGCUUGUCAACUCAGGCCUCAACUCGGCG
RNAcentral lists this unclassified non-coding RNA (244 nucleotides) under Hevea brasiliensis (rubber tree). Lineage: Eukaryota; Viridiplantae; Streptophyta; Magnoliopsida; Malpighiales; Euphorbiaceae. The record is from RNAcentral.